Heterocephalus glaber (naked mole-rat) is the source of this 69-nucleotide non-coding RNA. Lineage: Eukaryota; Metazoa; Chordata; Mammalia; Rodentia; Bathyergidae. The record is from Rfam.
GGGGAUAUAGCUCAGCGGUGCAGCACCUGCCUGGCAAGUGCGAGGCCCUGGGUUCGAUUCCCGGUACCA